GCCUGGCUGGCUCAUUUGGUAGAGUACGUGACUCUUGAUCUUGGGGUUGUGAGUUUGAGCCCCAUGUCAGGUG
This 73-nucleotide transfer RNA is filed under the name Felis catus (domestic cat). It matches the Rfam family "tRNA". Rfam says of the family: Transfer RNA (tRNA) molecules are approximately 80 nucleotides in length. Their secondary structure includes four short double-helical elements and three loops (D, anti-codon, and T loops). The record is from Rfam by way of RNAcentral. Lineage: Eukaryota; Metazoa; Chordata; Mammalia; Carnivora; Felidae. RNAcentral also lists the same sequence under 2 other names.